GGGUUUCCGGCUCCUCUGGAGCCGGGCAAUAUGAUAGAACUAUCUUUAUUGCUUAAUCUCAAAAGGUAUCUUACAACUAAUAUUUAUAACCUCAAAACGACUAGCCUAAGAUAACUUGCGUAAGAAUUAACCUAAGAUAACUUAUGGGCUAAGAUUGCCCGGUGGGCCUCUACGGCCGUAACAAGUGGCAUGUAUGGAAAGAAAAAUAGUUGUAUAGGGGGACUCGGUAGAGGCCUGCAUGGUUGAAAGAAACACACGUUGGUCAGAUUAUUAUGCAGGAAAAAAAGAAAGGGUAAUUGUGGGACCUGGGAAGUAAUGUGGGGAAACUAGUUGCCAUUACCUUGGAUCAGUCCAAAGGUUGUAGUUUGAUUUUUGAGAUGGUUCCCACUAACCCGCUG
RNAcentral lists this long non-coding RNA (398 nucleotides) under Triticum aestivum (bread wheat). RNAcentral describes it as "long non-coding RNA (TAES_LNC015689)". The record is from RNAcentral. Lineage: Eukaryota; Viridiplantae; Streptophyta; Magnoliopsida; Poales; Poaceae.